CCUACGGGUGGCAGCAGUGGGGAAUAUUGGGCAAUGGAGGAAACUCUGACCCAGCAACGCCGCGUGAAUGAUGAAGGUCUUCGGAUUGUAAAGUUCUUUUCUAAGGGAAGAAGAAAGUGACGGUACCUUAGGAAUAAGCCUCGGCUAACUACGUGACAGCAGCCGCGGAAAUACGUAGGAGGCAAGCGUUAUACGGAAUGACUGGGCGGAAAGGGUGCGUAGGUGGUUUGGCAAGUUAGUAGCGUAACUCCAAGGCUCAACCUUGGAACUACUACUGAAACUGUUGGACUUGAGUGCAGGAGGGGCAACCGGAAUUCCUAGUGUAGCGGUGGAAUGCGUAGAUAUUAGGAGGAACACCAGUGGCGAAGGCGGGUUGCUGGACUGUAACUGACACUGAGGCACGAAAGCGUGGGGAGCAAACAGGAUUAGAUACCCCUGUAGUC
RNAcentral lists this ribosomal RNA (443 nucleotides) under uncultured bacterium. RNAcentral's name for it is "partial 16S ribosomal RNA". It matches the Rfam family "Bacterial small subunit ribosomal RNA", at positions 338 to 795 of the family's 1533-position model. The record is from RNAcentral.